RNAcentral lists this ribosomal RNA (253 nucleotides) under uncultured bacterium. RNAcentral's name for it is "partial 16S ribosomal RNA". It matches the Rfam family "Bacterial small subunit ribosomal RNA", at positions 524 to 776 of the family's 1533-position model. The record is from RNAcentral.
UACGUAGGGGGCAAGCGUUAUCCGGAUUUACUGGGUGUAAAGGGAGCGUAGACGGCAGGGCAAGUCUGAUGUGAAAGGUCGGGGCCCAACCCCGGGACUGCAUUGGAAACUGUCCGGCUGGAGUACAGGAGAGGUAAGUGGAAUUCCUAGUGUAGCGGUGAAAUGCGUAGAUAUUAGGAGGAACACCAGUGGCGAAGGCGGUCUGCUGGACAGCAACUGACGCUGAGGCGCGAAAGCGCGGGGAGCAAACAGG